GAUGAACGCUGACAGAAUGCUUAACACAUGCAAGUCUACUUGAAUUUGGGUUUUUUAACUUAGAUUUGGGUGGCGGACGGGUGAGUAACGCGUAAAGAACUUGCCUCACAGUUAGGGACAACAUUUGGAAACGAAUGCUAAUACCUGAUAUUAUGAAUAUAUGGCAUCAUAUAAUUAUGAAAGCUAUAAGCGCUGUGAGAGAGCUUUGCGUCCCAUUAGCUAGUUGGAGAGGUAACGGCUCACCAAGGCGAUGAUGGGUAGCCGGCCUGAGAGGGUGAACGGCCACAAGGGGACUGAGACACGGCCCUUACUCCUACGGGAGGCAGCAGUGGGGAAUAUUGGACAAUGGACCAAGAGUCUGAUCCAGCAAUUCUGUGUGCACGAUGACGUUUUUCGGAAUGUAAAGUGCUUUCAGUUGGGAAGAAAAAAAUGACGGUACCAACAGAAGAAGUGACGGCGAAAUACGU
Molecule: ribosomal RNA, 467 nt
Filed under: uncultured bacterium
Lineage: Bacteria
Description: partial 16S ribosomal RNA
Rfam family: Bacterial small subunit ribosomal RNA
Source: RNAcentral